RNAcentral lists this ribosomal RNA (454 nucleotides) under uncultured bacterium. RNAcentral's name for it is "bacterial SSU rRNA". It matches the Rfam family "Bacterial small subunit ribosomal RNA", at positions 9 to 464 of the family's 1533-position model. The record is from RNAcentral.
GAGUUUGAUCAUGGCUCAGAUUGAACGCUGGCGGCAGGCCUAACACAUGCAAGUCGAGCGGUAGAGAGAAGCUUGCUUCUCUUGAGAGCGGCGGACGGGUGAGUAAUGCCUAGGAAUCUGCCUGGGUAGUGGGGGAUAAACGCUCGGAAACGGACGCUAAUACCGCAUACGUCCUACGGGAGAAAGCAGGGGACCUUCGGGCCUUGCGCUAUCAGAUGAGCCUAGGUCGGAUUAGCUAGUUGGUGAGGUAAUGGCUCACCAAGGCGACGAUCCGUAACUGGUCUGAGAGGAUGAUCAGUCACACUGGAACUGAGACACGGUCCAGACUCCUACGGGAGGCAGCAGUGGGGAAUAUUGGACAAUGGGCGAAAGCCUGAUCCAGCCAUGCCGCGUGUGUGAAGAAGGUCUUCGGAUUGUAAAGCACUUUAAGUUGGAGGAAGGGCAGUAAAUUAAU